GUAAAGGCAAUGAACGUGCACAGUAAGAUUCUAUUUUCCUGACAGAGAGGGAAGCCCACCGGCUGAAAAGCUUCCUGAGGUUCAAGCAGAAUCGAAAUUCCCACGCGAGCCGCAUACCGGAAGAAUUCGAGAGCAGAGAUCAUGGAUUUGGUAGGGUAUGACGUUUCCUCACUCGUUACGUGAGUUAAGAGUCUUAUCGUGAAUGUAAAAAUAAUUUUCAUUUUUCACAUAAGGAAUUUGGGUGGUACCGCGGAUAUAAAUUCGUCCCAAUG
RNAcentral lists this non-coding RNA (272 nucleotides) under Bacillota bacterium. RNAcentral's name for it is "Firmicutes bacterium T-box sequence". It matches the Rfam family "T-box leader". From Rfam's summary of the family: Uncharged tRNA acts as the effector for transcription antitermination of genes in the T-box leader family. T-boxes are found upstream of many aminoacyl-tRNA synthetase genes and some amino acid biosynthetic genes usually in Gram-positive bacteria. The anticodon of a specific tRNA base pairs to a specifier sequence within the T-box motif, and the NCCA acceptor tail of the tRNA base pairs to a conserved bulge in the T-box antiterminator hairpin. The record is from RNAcentral. Lineage: Bacteria; Bacillati; Bacillota.